Molecule: ribosomal RNA, 503 nt
Filed under: uncultured bacterium
Lineage: Bacteria
Description: partial 16S ribosomal RNA
Rfam family: Bacterial small subunit ribosomal RNA
Source: RNAcentral
AUUGAAUGCUGGCGGCAGGCUUAACACAUGCAAGUCGAGCGGGGUGAUGGUGCUUGCACUAUCACUUAGCGGCGGACGGGUGAGUAAUGCUUAGGAAUCUGCCUAUUAGUGGGGGACAACAUCUCGAAAGGGAUGCUAAUACCGCAUACGUCCUACGGGAGAAAGCAGGGGAUCACUUGUGACCUUGCGCUAAUAGAUGAGCCAAAGUCGGAUUAGCUAGUUGGUGGGGUAAAGGCCUACCAAGGCGACGAUCUGUAGCGGGUCUGAUAGGAUGAUCCGCCACACUGGGACUGAGACACGGCCCAGACUCCUACGGGAGGUAGCAGUGGGGAAUAUUGGACAAUGGGGGGAACCCUGAUCCAGCCAUGCCGCGUGUGUGAAGAAGGCCUUAUGGUUGUAAAGCACUUUAAGCGAGGAGGAGGCUCUUUUGGUUAAUACCCAAGAUGAGUGGACGUUACUCGCAGAAUAAGCACCGGCUAACUCUGUGCCAGCAGCCGCAGUAA